Molecule: ribosomal RNA, 675 nt
Filed under: uncultured archaeon
Lineage: Archaea
Description: bacterial SSU rRNA
Rfam family: Archaeal small subunit ribosomal RNA
Source: RNAcentral
AGUCAACAUAACCAAAGGACGUGGAUAAACUCGGGAAACUGAGGCUAAACCGCGAUAGACCAAGAUACCUGGAAUGGUUUUUGAUUAAAAUCUAUAUGGCCUUUGGAUUGGACUGCGACCGAUCAGGCUGUUGGUGAGGUAAUGGCCCACCAAACCUGUAACCGGUACGGGCUCUGAGAGGAGGAGCCCGGAGAUGGGUACUGAGACAAGGACCCAGGCCCUAUGGGGCGCAGCAGGCGCGAAACCUCUGCAAUAGGCGAAAGCCUGACAGGGUUAUUCUGAGUGACUUUCGCUAAGAAAGUCUUUUGACACCUCUAAAAAUGGUGUAGAAUAAGGGGUGGGCAAGUCUGGUGUCAGCCGCCGCGGUAAUACCAGCACCCCGAGUGGUCGGGACGAUUAUUGGGCCUAAAGCAUCCGUAGCCGGUUUUACAAGUCCUCCGUUAAAUCCAACUGCUUAACAGAUGGGCCGCGGAGGAUACUAUAAGACUAGGAGGCAGGAGAGGCAAGCGGUACUCAGUGGGUAGGGGUAAAAUCCGUUGAUCCAUUGAAGACCACCAGUGGCGAAGGCGGCUUGCCAGAAUGCGCUCGACGGUGAGGGAUGAAAGCUGGGGGAGCAAACCGGAUUAGAUACCCGGGUAGUCCCAGCUGUAAACGAUGCAGACUCGGUGAUGGACU